GUUAAGCGACUAAGCGUACACGGUGGAUGCCCUGGCAGUCAGAGGCGAUGAAGGACGUGCUAAUCUGCGAUAAGCGUCGGUAAGGUGAUAUGAACCGUUAUAACCGGCGAUUUCCGAAUGGGGAAACCCAGUGUGUUUCGACACACUAUCAUUAACUGAAUCCAUAGGUUAAUGAGGCGAACCGGGGGAACUGAAACAUCUAAGUACCCCGAGGAAAAGAAAUCAACCGAGAUUCCCCCAGUAGCGGCGAGCGAACGGGGAGCAGCCCAGAGCCUGAAU
RNAcentral lists this ribosomal RNA (279 nucleotides) under Escherichia coli. RNAcentral's name for it is "partial 23S ribosomal RNA". It matches the Rfam family "Bacterial large subunit ribosomal RNA", at positions 1 to 281 of the family's 2925-position model. Lineage: Bacteria; Pseudomonadati; Pseudomonadota; Gammaproteobacteria; Enterobacterales; Enterobacteriaceae. The record is from RNAcentral.